RNAcentral lists this ribosomal RNA (389 nucleotides) under uncultured bacterium. RNAcentral's name for it is "bacterial SSU rRNA". It matches the Rfam family "Bacterial small subunit ribosomal RNA", at positions 430 to 793 of the family's 1533-position model. The record is from RNAcentral.
GUACUUUUCAGCUAGUGAGGUAAGGUGGAUAUUGUUAAAUGCAUUAUUCUAUUUUCGACGUUUAGCUGCAGAAGAAGCACCGGUCUAACUCCGUGCCAGCAGCCGCGGUAAUACGGAGGGUGCGAGUCGUUAAUCGGAAUUACUGGGCGUAAAGCGCUAUGCAGGUUGGUUUUGUUAAGUCAGAUGUGAAAGCCCCGGGGCUCAACCUCGGAAUUGCAUUUGAAACUGGCAAACUAGAGUACUGUAGAGGGGGUAGAAUUUCAGGUGUAGCGGUGAAAUGCGUAGAGAUCUGAAGGAAUACCGGUGGCGAAGGCGGCCCCCCUGGACAGAUACUGACACUCAGAUCGCGAAAGCGUGGGGAGCAAACCAGGAUUAGAUACCCUCGGUAG